This 72-nucleotide transfer RNA is filed under the name Camelus bactrianus (Bactrian camel). It matches the Rfam family "tRNA". Rfam says of the family: Transfer RNA (tRNA) molecules are approximately 80 nucleotides in length. Their secondary structure includes four short double-helical elements and three loops (D, anti-codon, and T loops). Further hydrogen bonds mediate the characteristic L-shaped molecular structure. tRNAs have two regions of fundamental functional importance: the anti-codon, which is responsible for specific mRNA codon recognition, and the 3' end, to which the tRNAs corresponding amino acid is attached (by aminoacyl-tRNA synthetases). tRNAs cope with the degeneracy of the genetic code in two manners: having more than one tRNA (with a specific anti-codon) for a particular amino acid; and 'wobble' base-pairing, i.e. permitting non-standard base-pairing at the 3rd anti-codon position. The record is from Rfam by way of RNAcentral. RNAcentral also lists the same sequence under 2 other names. Lineage: Eukaryota; Metazoa; Chordata; Mammalia; Artiodactyla; Camelidae.
GAGGGCAUAGCUCAGUGGUUGAGCGCAUGCUUAGCACGCAUGAGGUCCUGGGUUCAAUCCCCAGUGUCUCCG